This 497-nucleotide ribosomal RNA is filed under the name uncultured bacterium. Its description in RNAcentral is "partial 16S ribosomal RNA". It matches the Rfam family "Bacterial small subunit ribosomal RNA", at positions 28 to 507 of the family's 1533-position model. The record is from RNAcentral.
GAUGAACGCUGGCGGCGUGCCUAAUACAUGCAAGUCGAGCGAACGGACGAGAAGCUUGCUUCUCUGAUGUUAGCGGCGGACGGGUGAGUAACACGUGGAUAACCUACCUAUAAGACUGGGAUAACUUCGGGAAACCGGAGCUAAUACCGGAUAAUAUUUUGAACCGCAUGGUUCAAAAGUGAAAGACGGUCUUGCUGUCACUUAUAGAUGGAUCCGCGCUGCAUUAGCUAGUUGGUAAGGUAACGGCUUACCAAGGCAACGAUGCAUAGCCGACCUGAGAGGGUGAUCGGCCACACUGGAACUGAGACAGGGUCCAGACUCCUACGGGAGGCAGCAGUAGGGAAUCUUCCGCAAUGGGCGAAAGCCUGACGGAGCAACGCCGCGUGAGUGAUGAGGGUCUUCGGAUCGUAAAACUCUGUUAUUAGGGAAGAACAUAUGUGUAAGUAACUGUGCACAUCUUGACGGUACCUAAUCAGAAAGCCACGGCUAACUACGUG